Molecule: long non-coding RNA, 3072 nt
Filed under: Homo sapiens (human)
Lineage: Eukaryota; Metazoa; Chordata; Mammalia; Primates; Hominidae
Description: HSALNT0275402
Source: RNAcentral
CACACCAGCAACACAAAGUCUGCCCCACCACCCAGGGAAGCCUGGGGCCGGAAGCGUGCCAGGAGCAACUUCAGCAGGACGGGUGCUGGGCUGGCAGCCGGCCAGCACCUCUGCUCAGCUGGCCGCCUACUCGAUGGCUGCGGAGACUGCGCACUGCGGGGCUGGGCCCUCACUGGGACCCUGGGAGGACACGGGGUGGAGCAUGCGCCAGGCAGCCACGUGGCAGUGGGAGCCAGGCUGGAGUCCGCUGGUGGAAGACAGGACACAGGCUGGAAAGGAAAACCCAACACGAUGACUGCCCCUCGCAGGCCACAGUCAGCCCGGCCCCAGGAGAGAGACCCGUGGAGCCCUAUGUCUCAGCAGGCAAGACCACCCUGGCCUGCCAUGCCUCCAUCCUAUGCCUAUAAAAACCCAAGACCCUAGCAAGGCAGAGACAGAAGCCUCUGUGUGGGGAGAGGAACACACUGGUGGAAGAAGACAAGCUGCUGGACAUCCCGAGAAUGUUGCCUGACUCCAGGGGAAAACCAUCUCCCCUCUGGCUCCCCCAUCUGCUGAGAGCUACUUCCACUCAAUAAAACCUUGCACUCAUUCUCCAAGCCCACGUGUGAUCCAAUUUUUUGGUACACCAAGGCAAGAAACCCUGGGAUACAGAAAUUCCUCUGUCCUUGUUAUAAGGCAGGGGUCUAAUUGAGCUCACUCUCACCAGCCACCUACAGACCGCUAGACUAAAAGACCACCCGGUAACGCACUCCCACUGGGGUUUCAAGAGCUGUAAACAUUCACCCCCAGACACUGCCAUGGGGUCAGAGCCCCACAGCCUGCCCGUCUGUAUGCUCCCCUAGAGGUGUGAGCGGUGGGGCACUGAAGAAGCGAGCCACUCCCCCGCUGCAUGCCCUGCGCCCUGCGCGGGGUAACCAGGGAACCCUUCCUGUUUCACUGUUUCACUGGGUAGAGAUCUCCCGGCUGGAGACAGAAUGGUGGGGAGAGGCCAGAUGUGCCCAGCAGCAGAUCCUGAGCCAGAGAAGGCCAUCAAUUAUUCAGCUCCUGCCUCUCAGCCUCCUCCGUUAGUACCUCUUAAAGCCGGGAAGAUAAAUCUCUCCGCUUGCUCCGUGGCGCCGACAGGAAGCAGGGCGGCACCAGGACCGUGACAGGCCCCGGCUGGGCCCCGGUUUCCCGAGCCAGCACAGGCGGCCUGCAAGGCUUCUCUGCUAUUAAAUCCAUAAUUCAGCGGCAACGCAGCUGGGGCCUGGCACACAGGGUCCCUGUGAUGAGGAGGGGCUGCCCCUGCCGGAAUGCACCAGAGGCUGCCACCAGGGAGAGAGUUACAAGGACCACUUCCGUGGACCUGGCAGGUCCUAGGGCCCCCUUUAAAAUUGUGCCUGGGGAGAGUCCCUGGCGCUGCUCCGGAGGAUCAUGGAGCCCGACUCUACUCACAGGGGAGACCACACAGCUUCUGCGGGGCAAGACAGCUGAGGAGCAUGUCAGGAACAGGAAGUAAACAGAAGCAAAUAUUUACCGAAUCCCUGGUGAGAAGGAACUUUCCAAGAAUAAAGGGAAGGAUGAGUUCACUUUGACUGUGUGGAAGCUAAAUUCUCAGGUGGCUCAAAGGAAAACAUCAAGCUAAAAGACAAGAAAUGAGGCGGGUAAAUUUUUGACACUAACAUGACAAAAAAUUAAUAGCAUUAACACGGCAGGAACUUAUCUGAAGCAGCAACACCAAGGGCAAUGUGAGUGAACUGCAGACAAGGCAACCCGGACGCCAUGGGACACGCCACAGAGCAGGCUGCCUUGUCCCCACUCUGCCUACAUGUGAGACCCACCAGACUCACAGUGAACACAUCCCAGCCCCUCCGGCCGGGCACCACGGAAGGCCCUCCCUCCUCCACUGAGGGCAGGGAUCACAGGGCCAGGUUUUUGUCAUCGGACAAGGGGUGUCCCAAGUCAUGAGAUGCUUAACCCAUGAAUGCCCCCUCUUGGAGUCUAUGCUAAUUAAACACGUAGAGGGGCGGACUUCACUCUGCCAGCUCAGAUAAUGACCACAGCAUAUUUAUAACCACAAAGAGGUGGAAACAGCUACACUAUCCAACAGUGGGGAAAUGUUUAAGUCAAUGCUGGGAGAGUAACACCAUGGACCAGCCCCGAAGAGACAUCUGUGGUGAGUGAAAUGCACGCCAUACAAGCCCAGAGAGACUGUGAACUUGGAAGAAAGAAUAGGUGCACACAAUAAGACUGGGAGGAAAUGAACAAACUAUCAUCGGCCAUGAGGUUCUCCUUUACUUACAAUAAGUAUAUGCAGCACAGACAUGAGAAAGGCAUUCCUGGAGUGUGAAGCCCAGGGCAAGAGGAUGCGGGUGUCCUGAGCAAGCAAUAAUGCCAGCACCUUCUGCAAGGAGCUCUGCUGGGCCACCUCUUGGGCAACAAACCAUCCUGGGACAUCUUGCAGACAAGGAAACAGGCUUCAGGAGGCAAUGGUGCCUCUUGAAGGGCAGGGCACACAGCCACAGGGCCACCUUCUGCAUGGCUCCCACCGCAGCUGAGUCUCCAAGGAAGCUGGGUUUUUACAGGGGCAGGUCCUCAAGGUGGAUACCCCUUUGCUAAAGGCUCUGCCCCAGCAACCCACAAGCAGCCACUUGCCCUGGGCUCCAGGCGGCUGCCCUCCCCUUGCUGUCCUCUGGACUGUUUAGUAUGCAGAAGGACCAGCCCUGCAAGGCCACCAUAAAUCCUGCCCCUGUCCUACAGCAGAUCAAUUGCCAAUCGGCUCCAAAUCCCCUAGAUGUCUCAGCAGCUUGGCCCAGCUGUAGGAGCCACGGCCAUGGUUGGCUCUAGAUGCUGCUGGCUAUAUAUAUUGAACUUGAAGCAUCGGAUUACAUGUUUGUUCAAUAGCAAUAAACUCCCAAAGUUUUAUGGGGUCAUAAAACCGCUGUCUCGGCUCCCACUUAGGUGGUAUGUAAUGUACACAGGCUGGUUUCCCCGCUAAUGGGGCGGUGCAAGUGAUUUGGGGCUAUUAGCUGGAAACAUCACAUCUGCAUUUCCCAAAUUCUCAUAAAUAAGGUGGCCCCACCAGAGUGCACC